This 282-nucleotide long non-coding RNA is filed under the name Elaeis guineensis (African oil palm). RNAcentral describes it as "long non-coding RNA (EGUI_LNC073737)". Lineage: Eukaryota; Viridiplantae; Streptophyta; Magnoliopsida; Arecales; Arecaceae. The record is from RNAcentral.
AGGAUCAGACGGUUACGCCUAUAUAACAUUGACAGCUAUGGCCAGAUAGCAUUGACAGCUAUGGCCAGUUGGCGCCUGUCUUUUGAUCUGAGUCCGAUCAAUUUGUUUUCGAGGAGAGAUCAGAAAGUAUGGUGUGUUGACUAAGAGUUGGGACUGAUAGUUUUUCGAUCAAGGGUUGGAUUAAACCUUUUUCGUCCAAAGAUUCGGAUCAAAAAUUAUAUCGAUGAGAUAUCGGACAAAAUAACCUCCGUUCGAGAGUCGGAAUAGAUACUUGCUGAUCAA